CGUAGGGGGCAAGCGUUGUCCGGAUUUACUGGGCGUAAAGAGCGCGUAGGCGGAGAUCUAAGCGUGGCCUGAAAGCCCCCGGCUCAACCGGGGAGUGCGGCUGCGAACUGGGUUUCUUGAGGACGAUAGAGGAGAGUGGAAUUCCUGGUGUAGCGGUGAAAUGCGUAGAUAUCAGGAGGAACACCCGAGGCGAAGGCGGCUCUCUGGGUCGUACCUGACGCUGAGGCGCGAAAGCGUGGGGAGCGAACGGGAUUAGAUACCCCGGUAGUCCACGCCGUAAACGAUGGUCACUAGGUGUGUGUGGUAUCGACCCCGCACGUGCCGCAGCUAACGCAAUAAGUGACCCGCCUGGGGAGUACGGCCGCAAGGUUG
This 372-nucleotide ribosomal RNA is filed under the name uncultured organism. Its description in RNAcentral is "bacterial SSU rRNA". It matches the Rfam family "Bacterial small subunit ribosomal RNA", at positions 526 to 896 of the family's 1533-position model. The record is from RNAcentral.